Molecule: long non-coding RNA, 4110 nt
Filed under: Marmota monax (woodchuck)
Lineage: Eukaryota; Metazoa; Chordata; Mammalia; Rodentia; Sciuridae
Source: RNAcentral
AAAUUCUUGUUAAAUAGAAGCUUCAAACAAAGACUCCUGGAGGAUAAUGGGACCCACAGAGAAUGCAGGUUAGACACAAUGAGGACAGAAAAGAAAUGACAGGAUGGGUAGUCGGUUAGAGACUACAUGUUUAAGUUAUUGCCCCCCCCCCCAAAGGGUUCAUCAAAUUAAGACUUCUGAGAUCCACUAGCCUAGGAGUUACAGAGAUGGGAUGGCCAGGAGUAAAAUGAUGGCCUUGCCUCUGAUGGCUGGGCAUAGUGGUGCAUGCCUUUAAUUCCAGUGACUGGUGACUGGGGAGGCUGAGGCUGGAGGAUCACAAGUUCAAGGACAGCCUGGGCAGAGUAGUGGGACCCUAACUCAAAAAAGGGCUGUGGAUGUUGCUCAAUGGUACAAUGCUCCUGGGUUCAAUCCUCAGUACCCUGCCUCCCCCAUAUACACACACGAAGAAGACUUUUUAAAAUUAUAUUAUUGUAUUUUAAUACCUUUUUUUAUUUUUAUGUGGUGCUGUGGAUCCAACCCAGUACUCUACCACUGAGGUACAACCACAGCCCCCAAAAGAUUGUUUUUUACCUUGAAGGAUGAGGCAUGGAUCCAGACUUAGUAGGGAAAAGAGUUUCAGGAAAGGACUCAAAGCCUUCUCUGUCCUGUUUGGAAUGUUGCCAUUGUAUUCAGAGGAAACUUAUGUGAAAUCCAUUUUGACCUGUCAAUAAAUACUUUUAAAAGUAUUACUACUGAAUGAUUCAGGGGGGUAUAGUAAAAUAAAGGCUUUCACUUAAUUCAUAGGAGGGUAAAUGAGUAUAUUCUUUUUUUAAGUGAAAUAGAGUAUUCCAGUCACUCUAACUGUAUGCAAAUAAAUAUUUAGUUUAAGCAAUAGUCCCUUGUGAGUCUAAUUAGUAAGCCCAGUUUUAGAGUACACUGACAGAUAAAUGGAGAAGCAGACCUUCUGAGACAGGAACUAUGUAGCCGCAUGGUCCUUUUCUUUCUCUGUUUUGGUUGUAAUUGCAAGUAGUCUCAUCCUUGAUUAUCCAUCUUAUACACAUGCAUUAUUUCACACCAAGGGAGAAUUUCCAGAUAUUUUGGAAACCCCAAAUAUUUUUUUCUUGUUUGUCCUGGUUUUGAUCUAUGCGGAUACUAAUAAAACCCUUAGAACCAUCCACUCUAUUUCAUGCCAAUCUCAUGUAAUCUUUCCACUUUCCUGGGAGUGCCCCAAGGAUGGUCAAGAGCCCUUUCGGGCAGAACAAGUACUGAUUAACAAGCUGCAGAGCUUGCCAUGAAGUGACUUAUUUUGUUUUUUCUUCUGGACACUAGGAAAGAGAUCUUCCUGUAAAGGCUGCUUUUGCAACCUUGUGAACUUUCCUCCUAGGUAAGUCAGGAAAGUUAUGGUUCGUGGCUUUAGUGAAGAACCGGUCCUUUCUAAUAAAGAAUCCAUUUGUUUCUUGAUUUUCAUCCUUCGUGGUGGGCACUUAGAGCUGCCACUUUGGAGAGGAGCUUCAUUCAUCCUGUGUACCGUAAAGGCCUUAGGUGAGUAUUUCAUUGUAAGAUGGGGACAAUACCUAUCUUUCAGAGUUGUUGAGGAAGGAAAAGAGAACUUACCAGAAGGACUAUAACAGUGUGUAGCACAUAGCAGACACAGUAAAUCUAUAUUUACUCAUUCCAUUCUAGAUAUUGCACAGUUGUUUGCAAUCAUCUGCAUUGAAAUCCUGAUCAAACUAUCAGUUAAUCACACAAGGCAGAGUGUUUCCUGGUCACCAUUUGAAUAUCCACAAUGCCUGGCCUUCUUUAAGUGAAGAAAAAAGAGAAUUUAAUUUCAAAGUUUGGCCCUCAUCUCAUAUUUGCUUUUUAUUUAUGAAAAUAUAGUGCUUGUCCAUGUAAAUAUCUCUGAAAGAAUGCCAGGAACCUGAUAACCUUAGUUCCCUGGAGAACUCUGGUACUCAGAAACAGGAAAAUAUUUCUCACCUUGAAUCCUUUUGUCCUUUUAAAAAAUUUACCAUAGGCAUGUAUUACCUCAAAAAAGUGUUUAAUGUCAGAAAAUCUCCCCAAGUUAAACCAAACUAAAAAUAUCUUGUUAGACACAUUUGUAAAAAUGUAUUAUGUAAAGGUGAAAUAUACUUUAUAAAAAUUGAAAAAAAUGAUCAAACAGACUAAGAAAUACACAUGAAAACAAUGACAUCUUUGUAAUUUCAAUUGCAGAGAGGUAAAGAAUAGUAUCCCAGGGCAAGGGAGGGAGAAGGGGAGGUUCACCCAAUUGGACAGGGCAGAGUGCCAGGAAAGGAGGAGGAAAGGGAAUGGGAAAGACAAUAGAAUGAAUGGGACAUAACUUUCCUGUGUUCACAUAUGAAUACAUGACCAGUGUAACUCCACAUCAUGUACAAGAUGGAAUAAGUUACUUACUUACACAAAAAUGGAAACUUAUACUCCUUGUAUAUACAAUAUGUCAAAAUACAUUCUACUGUCAUGUAUAACUAAAAAAAAUCAAUUUAAAAAAUUUUAAUACAGUGCAAAAAAUAAAAAAGAAUAGUUUCCCAUGUUGGCAGGGGUGUGGACUGUUUGUCUUGGUGUAGCAAGUGUAGAGUCUUCUUGCUCUUGGUAUGACAACACAUUAGUAAAAACCUUUCUGGCAGGCAUUCUGUGAUUUGUUUCCAAAGUUAAAAUGUGGUUAAUUAAAACCAUUUUAACCAACAUUCUAGGAAUUUUUCCUACAGAAGUACAGAUGGUCCCCAACUUACUAUGGUUCAGCUUAAUGAUUUUCCAGCUUUACAAUGAUGCAAAAGCAAUACACGUUCGGUGGAAACCACUCUUCAAAUCUUGAUCUUUUCCCAGGAUAGCAAUAUGUGGUACAAUACUCUCAAGAUGGUGGGAGGGACUAGGGAAGAAUAGAAGUUCAUUGGAUUAGACAAAGGGGAAUGAAGGGAAGGAAGGAUGGGAAUAGGAAAAAGAAUGAAUUGGACAUAAUUUUCCUAUGUUCAUAUAUGAAUGCAAGACCAGUGAAAUUCUACAUCAUGUACAACCACAAGAAUGGGAGCUCAAUUAGAAUAAGUUAUAUUCCAUGUAUGUAUAAUAUGUCAAGAUGCACUCUACUGUCACGUAUAUCUAAAAAGAACAAAUUUUAAAAGUUGAGGAAAAAAAGAUGUUAGGCAAUGAAAGCUGUCACAAGCCACAGCGCCCAGUCAGUCAUGUGAUCAGGAGAAUUAGCAACCAAUGUGCUACAAGUAUUCAAUAUUGCCAGCAUUUUUGUGGACAUAGGUAUUCAAUAAAUUACAUGAGAUAGUCAAUAUUAUAAAUAGGUUUUGUGUUAGAAGAUCUUACCAAACUAUGGACUAAUGUAACUGUUCUGAGCAUAUUUAAGGUAGGCUAGGCUAAACUACGAUGUUCAGUGGAUAAGAAGUGUUAAAUGCAGUUUUGACUUAAUAUUUUCAACUUAUGGGGCUGGGGAUAUAGCUCAGUUAGUAGAGUGCUUGCCUAGCAUACACAAGGCCCUGGGUUCUAAUCCCCAGCACCAUAUUAAAAAAAUAUAUAUCUGAACAGAUCUCUCUCUCUCUCUCUCUCUCUCUCUCUCUCUCUCUCUCUCUCUCUCUCUCCCCCUCUCCCCCCCCUCUCCCUCCUCCCCUUGCUUUCCCUCUCUCCUUCAUGCAAUGCCUCAGUCUCUUUCCUCCACCACCACAUUCUUCCACCAUGAUGUUCUGCCUCACCUUGAGCCCUGAGGAAUGGAGCCAGCCUUCUAUGGACUGAGACCUCUGAAACCAUGAGCCCUCAACUUAUGGUGGAUUUUUUUCAGGACAUAAUCCCAUUGUGAGUUGAAAACAUCUGUAAUCAAAAAGUGUACAGGUGGGGCUGGGGUUGUGGGUCAGUGGUAGAGCACUUGCCUAGCAUGUGUGAGGCACUGGGUUCAAUCCUCAGCACCACAUAAAAAUAAGUAAAUAAAAGUAAUUGUGUCCAUCUACAACAACAACAAAAAAAAAGUGUUCAGGUGUGUGUACAUGUUUGUGAACUGCAGUAUUGUUUACCACCUGAAUGUCCAGGUGUUGGUGGGGACUGGAUUGCCAGUCCUUGCUGUCCUCCCUCCCCAGCUAUAGGUCAUCUUACUGACCACUCUUUCCAAAUAGAGCAAGG